CCUACGGGUGGCAGCAGUGGGGAAUAUUGCACAAUGGGCGAGAGCCUGAUGCAGCAAAGCCGCGUGAGCGAUGAAGGCCUUCGGGUCGUAAAACUCUUUCCUCAAGGGAGAUAAUGACGGUACUUGAGGAGGAAUCCCCGGCUAACUACGUGCCAGCAGCCGCGGUAAUACGUAGGGGGCUAGCGGUAUCCGGAAUUACUGGGCGUAAAGGGUGCGUAGGUGGUUUCUUAAGGCAGCGGUGAAAGGCUACGGCUAAAUCGUAGUAAGCCUUUGAAACUGGGGAACUUGAGUGCAGGAGAGGUGUGCGGAAUUCGUAGUGUAGCGGUGAAAUGCGUAGAUAUCACGAGGAACACCAGUUGCGAAGGCGGCUUUCUGG
This 376-nucleotide ribosomal RNA is filed under the name uncultured bacterium. RNAcentral describes it as "partial 16S ribosomal RNA". It matches the Rfam family "Bacterial small subunit ribosomal RNA", at positions 338 to 732 of the family's 1533-position model. The record is from RNAcentral.